Molecule: long non-coding RNA, 562 nt
Filed under: Salmo salar (Atlantic salmon)
Lineage: Eukaryota; Metazoa; Chordata; Actinopteri; Salmoniformes; Salmonidae
Description: lncRNA (ENSSSAG00000106071.1)
Source: RNAcentral
UAGUUCCUCUCAUCUUGGAGAUGGAAGGUGAAUCUAGUUCCUCUCAUCUUGGAGAUGGAAGGUUAAUGUGUAGUUCCUCUCAUCUUGGAGAUGGAAGGUUAUGUGUAGUUCCUCUCAUCUUGGCAAUGGAAGGUGAAUCUGUAGUUCCUCUCAUCUUGGAGAUGGAAGGUGAAUCUGUACUUCCUCUCAUCUUGGCGAUGGAAGGUGAAUCUGUACUUCCUCUCAUCUUGGAGAUGGAAGGUGAAUCUAGUUCCUCUCUUCUUGGAGAUGGAAGGUUAAUCUGUAGUUCCUCUCAUCUUGGCAAUGGAAGGUGAAUCUGUAGUUCCUCUCAUCUUGGAGAUGGAAGGUGAAUCUGUAUUUCCUCUCAUCUUGGCGAUGGAAGGUGGAUCUGUAGUUCCUCUCAUCUUGCCGAUGGAAGGUGGAUCUGUAGUUCCUCUCAUCUUGGCGAUGAUAGGUUAAUCUGUGGUUCCUCUCAUCUUGGCGAUGGAAGGUUAAUCUGUGGUUCCUCUCAUCUUGGCGAUGGAAGGUGGAUCUGUAGUUCCUCUCAUCUUGGCGAUGGAAG